Molecule: ribosomal RNA, 497 nt
Filed under: uncultured bacterium
Lineage: Bacteria
Description: partial 16S ribosomal RNA
Rfam family: Bacterial small subunit ribosomal RNA
Source: RNAcentral
GAUGAACGCUGGCGGCGUGCCUAAUACAUGCAAGUCGAGCGAACAGACGAGGAGCUUGCUCCUCUGACGUUAGCGGCGGACGGGUGAGUAACACGUGGAUAACCUACCUAUAAGGCUGGGAUAACUUAGGGAAACCGGAGCUAAUACCGGAUAAUAUAUUGAACCGCAUGGUUCAAUAGUGAAAGACGGUUUUGCUGUCACUUAUAGAUGGAUCCGCGCCGCAUUAGCUAGUUGGUAAGGUAACGGCUUACCAAGGCAACGAUGCGUAGCCGACCUGAGAGGGUGAUCGGCCACACUGGAACUGAGACACGGUCCAGACUCCUACGGGAGGCAGCAGUAGGGAAUCUUGCGCAAUGGGCGAAAGCCUGACGCAGCAACGCCGCGUGAGUGAUGAAGGUCUUCGGAUCGUAAAACUCUGUUAGUAGGGAAGAACAAAUGUGUAAGUAACUAUGCCCGUCUUGACGGUACCUAAAGAGAAAGCCACGGCUAACUACGUG